UGAGCAAUCUGCCCUUCACAUCGGAAUAACCAUUGGAAACGAUGGCUAAUACCGAAUAUGACUUCGGAUCGCAUGAUCUGAAGUGGAAAGCUCCGGCGGUGAAGGAUGAGCUCGCGGCCUAUCAGCUAGUUGGUGUGGGUAACGGCCCACCAAGGCGACGACGGGUAGCCGGUCUGAGAGGAUGGCCAGCCACAUUGGGACUGAGACACGGCCCAGACCUCCG
Molecule: ribosomal RNA, 223 nt
Filed under: uncultured bacterium
Lineage: Bacteria
Description: partial 16S ribosomal RNA
Rfam family: Bacterial small subunit ribosomal RNA
Source: RNAcentral